RNAcentral lists this ribosomal RNA (253 nucleotides) under uncultured bacterium. Its description in RNAcentral is "partial 16S ribosomal RNA". It matches the Rfam family "Bacterial small subunit ribosomal RNA", at positions 524 to 776 of the family's 1533-position model. RNAcentral also lists the same sequence under 2 other names. The record is from RNAcentral.
UACGGAGGGAGCUAGCGUUGUUCGGAAUUACUGGGCGUAAAGCGCACGUAGGCGGCUAUUCAAGUCGGGGGUGAAAGCCCGGGGCUCAACCCCGGAACUGCCCUCGAAACUAGGUAGCUAGAAUCUUGGAGAGGCGAGUGGAAUUCCGAGUGUAGAGGUGAAAUUCGUAGAUAUUCGGAAGAACACCAGUGGCGAAGGCGACUCGCUGGACAAGUAUUGACGCUGAGGUGCGAAAGCGUGGGGAGCAAACAGG